Molecule: ribosomal RNA, 455 nt
Filed under: uncultured Pantoea sp.
Lineage: Bacteria; Pseudomonadati; Pseudomonadota; Gammaproteobacteria; Enterobacterales; Erwiniaceae
Description: bacterial SSU rRNA
Rfam family: Bacterial small subunit ribosomal RNA
Source: RNAcentral
AAAGAGUUUGAUCAUGGCUCAGAUUGAACGCUGGCGGCAGGCCUAACACAUGCAAGUCGGACGGUAGCACAGAGAGCUUGCUCCUGGGUGACGAGUGGCGGACGGGUGAGUAAUGUCUGGGGAUCUGCCCGAUAGAGGGGGAUAACCACUGGAAACGGUGGCUAAUACCGCAUAACGUCGCAAGACCAAAGAGGGGGACCUUCGGGCCUCUCACUAUCGGAUGAACCCAGAUGGGAUUAGCUAGUAGGCGGGGUAAUGGCCCACCUAGGCGACGAUCCCUAGCUGGUCUGAGAGGAUGACCAGCCACACUGGAACUGAGACACGGUCCAGACUCCUACGGGAGGCAGCAGUGGGGAAUAUUGCACAAUGGGCGCAAGCCUGAUGCAGCCAUGCCGCGUGUAUGAAGAAGGCCUUCGGGUUGUAAAGUACUUUCAGCGGGGAGGAAGGCGGUUAUG